RNAcentral lists this ribosomal RNA (474 nucleotides) under uncultured Methanomicrobiales archaeon. RNAcentral describes it as "bacterial SSU rRNA". It matches the Rfam family "Archaeal small subunit ribosomal RNA", at positions 865 to 1338 of the family's 1478-position model. The record is from RNAcentral. Lineage: Archaea; Methanobacteriati; Methanobacteriota; Methanomicrobia; Methanomicrobiales.
UUGGACGGGGAGCACCACAACGGGUGGAGCUUGCGGUUUAAUUGGAUUCAACGCCGGAAAUCUUACCGGGACCGACAGCAAUAUGAAGGCCAGGCUGAAGACUUUGCCGGAUUAGCUGAGAGGUGGUGCAUGGCCGUCGUCAGUUCGUACUGUGAAGCAUCCUGUUAAGUCAGGCAACGAGCGAGACCCACGCCAACAGUUGCCAGCUCGUCCUCCGGGAUGGUGGGGACACUGUUGGGACCGCCUCUGCUAAAGAGGAGGAAGGAAUGGGCAACGGUAGGUCAGCAUGCCCCGAAUUAUCUGGGCUACACGCGGGCUACAAUGGGUGGGACAAUGGGUAUCGACACCGAAAGGUGAAGGCAAUCUCCUAAACCCAUCCGUAGUUCGGAUUGUGGGCUGCAACUCGCCCACAUGAAGCUGGAAUCUGUAGUAAUCGUGUCUCAAAAUGGCACGGUGAAUAUGUCCCUGCUCCUU